GACGAACGCUGGCGGCGUGCUUAACACAUGCAAGUCGAACGAUGAAGAAGAGAAACGCGAACUUCGGUUCAACUUUCACUUCGGAUUAGUGGCAGACGGGUGAGUAACGCGUGAGCAACCUACCUCUUACAAAGGGAUAGCCUCGGGAAACCGUGAUUAAUACCAUAUGACACAUUCAUAAGGCAUCUUAAGAAUGUUAAAGCUACGGCGGUAAGAGAUGGGCUCGCGUCCCAUUAGCUAGUUGGUGAGGUAACGGCCCACCAAGGCGACGAUGGGUAACCGGCCUGAGAGGGUGAACGGUCACAUUGGAACUGAGACACGGUCCUAACUCCUACGGGAGGCAGCAGUGGGGAAUAUUGCACAAUGGAGGGAACUCUGAUGCAGCGACGCCGCGUGAGCGAUGAAGGAAUUCGUUUCGUAAAGCUCUGUUCUAUGGGAAGAAAAGGACUGUACCAUAGGAGAAAGCCCCGGCUAAAUACGUG
RNAcentral lists this ribosomal RNA (482 nucleotides) under uncultured bacterium. RNAcentral describes it as "partial 16S ribosomal RNA". It matches the Rfam family "Bacterial small subunit ribosomal RNA", at positions 28 to 507 of the family's 1533-position model. The record is from RNAcentral.